GUCUACGGCCACACCAUCCUGAACGCACCCCAUCUUGUCUGAUCUCAGAAGCUAAGCAGGGUUGGGCCUCGUUAGGACUUGGAUGGGAGGAAGUCUCUGUAAAGU
This 105-nucleotide ribosomal RNA is filed under the name Ovis aries (sheep). Lineage: Eukaryota; Metazoa; Chordata; Mammalia; Artiodactyla; Bovidae. The record is from RNAcentral.